Molecule: ribosomal RNA, 325 nt
Filed under: uncultured eukaryote
Lineage: Eukaryota
Description: partial 18S ribosomal RNA
Rfam family: Eukaryotic small subunit ribosomal RNA
Source: RNAcentral
CCCUUAGAUGUUCUGGGCCGCACGCGCGCUACACUGAUGCAUUCAACGAGUUACCUUGGCCGAGAGGCCUGGGCAAUCUUUUGAACGUGCAUCGUGAUAGGGAUAGAUUAUUGCAAUUAUUAAUCUUGAACGAGGAAUUCCUAGUAAACGCAGUUCAUCAAACUGCAUUGAUUACGUCCCUGCCCUUUGUACACACCGCCCGUCGCACCUACCGAUUGAAUGAUCCGAUGAAUAUCAUGGAUUGAGGAUGCAAGCAGGUUCGCCUGUCUUCAUCUUCGAGAAGUGAAGUAAAUCUUAUCAUUUAGAGGAAGGAGAAGUCGUAACA